Molecule: ribosomal RNA, 473 nt
Filed under: uncultured organism
Description: partial 16S ribosomal RNA
Rfam family: Bacterial small subunit ribosomal RNA
Source: RNAcentral
CACUCCUACGGGAGGCAGCAGUGGGGAAUUUUGGACAAUGGGCGAAAGCCUGAUCCAGCAAUGCCGCGUGAGUGAAGAAGGCCUUCGGGUUGUAAAGCUCUUUUGUCAGGGAAGAAACGGUGAAAGCUAAUAUCUUUUGCUAAUGACGGUACCUGAAGAAUAAGCACCGGCUAACUACGUGCCAGCAGCCGCGGUAAUACGUAGGGUGCAAGCGUUAAUCGGAAUUACUGGGCGUAAAGCGUGCGCAGGCGGUUUUGUAAGUCUGAUGUGAAAUCCCCGGGCUCAACCUGGGAAUUGCAUUGGAGACUGCAAGGCUAGAAUCUGGCAGAGGGGGGUAGAAUUCCACGUGUAGCAGUGAAAUGCGUAGAUAUGUGGAGGAACACCGAUGGCGAAGGCAGCCCCCUGGGUCAAGAUUGACGCUCAUGCACGAAAGCGUGGGGAGCAAACAGGAUUAGAAACCCUAGUAGUCCCAU